This 743-nucleotide ribosomal RNA is filed under the name Sordariomycetes sp. Its description in RNAcentral is "eukaryotic LSU rRNA". The stretch from base 309 to 743 matches the Rfam family "Eukaryotic large subunit ribosomal RNA", at positions 1 to 439 of the family's 3401-position model. Lineage: Eukaryota; Fungi; Ascomycota; Sordariomycetes. The record is from RNAcentral.
GGUUCUGGCAUCGAUGAAGAACGCAGCGAAAUGCGAUAAGUAAUGUGAAUUGCAGAAUUCAGUGAAUCAUCGAAUCUUUGAACGCACAUUGCGCCCAUUAGUACUCUAGUGGGCAUGCCUGUUCGAGCGUCAUUACGACCCUUAAGCCUAGCUUAGUAUUGGGAACCUACGUGCGGCAGCUACCCUGUAGCUACCCUGUAGCUCCUUAAAGACAACGGCGGAGACGUGGAGUCCUCUGAGCUUAGUAACUUUUCUAGCUUCUGAAGGCGCCGCGGCCCCUGCCGUAAAACCCCCAACUCUUUAGUGGUUGACCUCGGAUCAGGUAGGAAUACCCGCUGAACUUAAGCAUAUCAAUAAGCGGAGGAAAAGAAACCAACAGGGAUUGCCUUAGUAACGGCGAGUGAAGCGGCAACAGCUCAAAUUUGAAAGCUGGCCUUCGGGUCCGCGUUGUAAUUUGUAGAGGAUGCUUUUGGUUAGGUGCCUUACGAGUUCCCUGGAACGGGACGCCUUAGAGGGUGAGAGCCCCGUACGUUUGGUUACCGAGCCUCUGUAAAGCUCCUUCGACGAGUCGAGUAGUUUGGGAAUGCUGCUCUAAAUGGGAGGUAAAUUUCUUCUAAAGCUAAAUACCGGCCAGAGACCGAUAGCGCACAAGUAGAGUGAUCGAAAGAUGAAAAGCACUUUGAAAAGAGGGUUAAAUAGCACGUGAAAUUGUUGAAAGGGAAGCGUUUAUGACCAGACUUUUU